RNAcentral lists this long non-coding RNA (157 nucleotides) under Sus scrofa (pig). RNAcentral's name for it is "lncRNA (ENSSSCG00015057414.1)". The record is from RNAcentral. Lineage: Eukaryota; Metazoa; Chordata; Mammalia; Artiodactyla; Suidae.
ACUAGUGUCAGAGUCAAAGUGACAUUUUCAGACAUGAAAGUACGCUGUCAGAUCCAGGAACGUUGUGCAAGAAAUGAAUUGGUACAGAAAGAGUCUUACCUCCAGUAUUAGUGCCUCGUCAUAAUGAAUUCAAUCCACAACACAGCCUUCUGGUUCA